Molecule: ribosomal RNA, 97 nt
Filed under: Janthinobacterium lividum
Lineage: Bacteria; Pseudomonadati; Pseudomonadota; Betaproteobacteria; Burkholderiales; Oxalobacteraceae
Description: partial 16S ribosomal RNA
Rfam family: Bacterial small subunit ribosomal RNA
Source: RNAcentral
AGAUUAAACUGAAGAGUUUGAUCCUGGCUCAGAUUGAACGCUGGCGGCAUGCCUUACACAUGCAAGUCGAACGGCAGCACGGAGCUUGCUCUGGUGG